RNAcentral lists this transfer RNA (117 nucleotides) under Pseudomonadota bacterium. RNAcentral describes it as "Proteobacteria bacterium (activated sludge metagenome) tRNA-OTHER". It matches the Rfam family "tRNA". From Rfam's summary of the family: Transfer RNA (tRNA) molecules are approximately 80 nucleotides in length. Their secondary structure includes four short double-helical elements and three loops (D, anti-codon, and T loops). Further hydrogen bonds mediate the characteristic L-shaped molecular structure. tRNAs have two regions of fundamental functional importance: the anti-codon, which is responsible for specific mRNA codon recognition, and the 3' end, to which the tRNAs corresponding amino acid is attached (by aminoacyl-tRNA synthetases). tRNAs cope with the degeneracy of the genetic code in two manners: having more than one tRNA (with a specific anti-codon) for a particular amino acid; and 'wobble' base-pairing, i.e. permitting non-standard base-pairing at the 3rd anti-codon position. Lineage: Bacteria; Pseudomonadati; Pseudomonadota. The record is from RNAcentral.
AGCGACAUAGGGGAGAGGUUAACCCGUCGGGCUCAUAAUUAAUUUUAUGCCGAUUGUAUCGGCUUUUAUACCUUUUAGGUUACCCGAAGAUCACUAGUUCGAAUCUGGUUGUCGCUU